CCUACGGGAGGCAGCAGCGAGGAAUAUUGGUCAAUGGCCGGAAGGCUGAACCAGCGAAGCCGCGUGAAGGACGAAGGUGCCAAGCAUUGUAAACUUCUUUUGUCAAGGGACAAAAUCAGGCUCGAGAGCCUGACCGAGGGUACUUGAAGAAAAAGCAUCGGCUAACUCCGUGCCAGCAGCCGCGGUAAUACGGAGGAUGCGAGCGUUAUCCGGAUUUAUUGGGUUUAAAGGGUGCGUAGGCGGGCUGUUAAGUCAGCGGUAAAAGCCCGGGGCUCAACCCCGGCGAGCCGUUGAAACUGGGUGUCUUGAGAUGUCGAGAGGUAUGCGGAAUGCGCAGUGUAGCGGUGAAAUGCUUAGAUAUUGCGCAGAACUCCGAUGGCGAAGGCAGCAUACCGGCGGCGAUCUGACGCUGAGGCACGAAAGCGUGGGUAGCGAACAGGAUUAGAUACCCCAGUAGUC
RNAcentral lists this ribosomal RNA (459 nucleotides) under uncultured bacterium. RNAcentral describes it as "partial 16S ribosomal RNA". It matches the Rfam family "Bacterial small subunit ribosomal RNA", at positions 338 to 795 of the family's 1533-position model. The record is from RNAcentral.